Molecule: ribosomal RNA, 1755 nt
Filed under: marine metagenome
Description: bacterial LSU rRNA
Rfam family: Bacterial large subunit ribosomal RNA
Source: RNAcentral
GCAGUGAAGGCAGACCGGAAGGACUGCUGGAGCGUGCGGAAGUGCGAAUGUCGGCAUGAGUAGCGAAAUGUGAGUGGGAAUCUCACACACCGUAUGGCCAAGGUUUCCUGAGCAAGGCUCGUCCUCUCAGGGUUAGUCGGUCCUAAGUCGAGGGCGAACGCCGUAGACGAUGGACAUCUGGUUGAUAUUCCAGAACCACCAAAGACCGUUUGCACCGCAAGGUGUCGUCGGGCCGAGGCGGAGGGUGGCUCUCUGACGCAAGUCAGGGGGUACUCCGAGCCGGAGUUCGAUGGGAGCAAGGGCAUGACGGGGUCUGGUAGUUCGAGCGUGCUAUGGAAUGCACGUCCAAGCUCGUAGGGGGUGGGACUAGGUAAAUCCGGUCCCGCAUUCAACUCUGAAAAGCGAUGGGAAGGGGUGUAUGCCCUGACUCGAGCAAGCCAAGCCUCCAAGAAAAGUGUCUAGCGAGGUCCUAGGUGACCGUACCGCAAACCGACACAGGUGGCCGGGUAGAGAAUACCAAGGUGAUCGGGAGAACCCUCGUUAAGGAACUCGGCAAAAUAACCCCGUAACUUCGGGAGAAGGGGUGCUCACAGGUGCAGCUUGCUGUGCUUGUGAGCCGCAGUGAAAUGGCCCAGGCGACUGUUUAACAAAAACACAGGUCUCCGCUAAAGCGCAAGCUGAUGUAUGGGGGCUGACGCCUGCCCAGUGCUGGAAGGUUAAGAGGAGGGGUGCAAGCUCUGAAUCGAAGCCCCAGUGAACGGCGGCUGUAACUAUAACAGUCCUAAGGUAGCGAAAUUCCUUGUCGGGUAAGUUCCGACCCGCACGAAUGGCGUAACGAUCUGGGCACUGUCUCAACGAGGGAUCCGGCGAAAUUGAAAUACCAGUGAAGAUGCUGGUUACGCGCGCUGGGGCAAAAAGACCCCGUGGAGCUUUACUACACCCUGAUAUUGAAUUGAGGCUCGACCUGUGUAGGAUAGGUGGGAGGCUUUGAAGCUGGGGCGUUAGCCUCGGUGGAGCCGUCGUUGAAAUACCACCCUUGUUGUGUUUCGUUUCUAACCCCGUGCCGUUAUCCGGCCGGGGAACAGUGUCAGGCGGGUAGUUUGACUGGGGCGGUCGCCUCCUAAAGAGUAACGGAGGCGCCCAAAGGUCCUCUCAGGCUGGAUGGAAAUCAGCCAUAGAGUGCAAAGGCAUAAGAGGGCUUGACUGCGAGACCUACAAGUCGAGCAGGUGCGAAAGCAGGGCUUAGUGAUCUGAUAACUCCGAGUGGAAGGGUUAUCACUCAACGGAUAAAAGCUACCCCGGGGAUAACAGGCUGAUGGUGCCCAAGAGUUCAUAUCGACGGCACCGUUUGGCACCUCGAUGUCGGCUCGUCGCAUCCUGGGGCGGAAGUACGUCCCAAGGGUUUGGCUGUUCGCCAAUUAAAGCGGUACGUGAGCUGGGUUCAGAACGUCGUGAGACAGUUCGGUCUCUAUCCAGCGUGGGCGAAGGGAACUUGAAAGGAGCUGCUCCUAGUACGAGAGGACCGGAGUGGACGAGCCUAUGGUGUGCCUGUUGUCCUUCCAAGGGCAUUGCAGGGUAGCUAAGCUCGGCAGGGAUAAGCGCUGAAAGCAUAUAAGCGCGAAGCUCGCCUUAAGAUGAGGUUCCCCACCGGGUUAACCGGGUAAGACCGCAGGGAGACUACCUGCUUGAUAGGGCGCAUGUGGAAGGCCAGUGAUGGCUGCAGCAAAGCGCUACUAAUGGUCGAGGGCUUGACCU